CAGAAACUGACCCUCAUCCACUGGAAGUCGCAGGUGCAUGCAGUUUUGAAGGUGAGAGCUAGAAGUUGGCCUGCAUACCAGCUGUGUACUUGGAGGGAGUACCCAGUGCUGCCCCACAGCAUGCCCACCUGCCUGCUUGGAUCUCUUUUCCUGUUUUCAUCUCUGGUAGGGGGUGGUGGGAGGUAGGGCACCCAGGUAGGCCUCACUUUGAAGAAUGCAGGUCAUAACAGGGGUCAUAGAGUGGGUUGGCAUGGCCAUCAUUGUCUUUCCUGUGGACAUUCACCUACCUUACCCCCAACCCAGGCGGUCUUUAUUUUCCCACAGCUGGUCAGUGAGUUCUGCCCUCGGCUCACCUUUCUCAAGCUUUCAGACUGCCACAGUGUGACCACGGAUGCUCUCGUCAUGCUAGCCAAAGCCUGCCACCAGCUCUACAGCCUGGAUCUACAACACUCCAUGGUGAGCCCUGUGUCCCAAGGGACUCCGAAGAAGCCUAGGUAGAGGUGACAAGUAGCUCUGUGUUGGGUCCCCAGGUGGAGUCCACAGCUGUGGUGAGCUUUCUGGAGGAGGCUGGACCCCGAAUGCGCAGGCUGUGGCUGACCUAUAGUUUCCAGACAACAGCCAUCUUGGGUGCACUACUGGUAGGCUGGUGACGGGCAGGAGCAGAGCCAAAUGCUAAACGGGGGAGUGCCAG
This 691-nucleotide long non-coding RNA is filed under the name Marmota monax (woodchuck). The record is from RNAcentral. Lineage: Eukaryota; Metazoa; Chordata; Mammalia; Rodentia; Sciuridae.